RNAcentral lists this ribosomal RNA (348 nucleotides) under Zidalus niloticus. RNAcentral's name for it is "partial 12S ribosomal RNA". Lineage: Eukaryota; Metazoa; Arthropoda; Insecta; Coleoptera; Tenebrionidae. The record is from RNAcentral.
UUAUUAGGAAUGUAGUUGUUAGCUAAGAUUAUUAAUAGUUAUGAUCUUUAAAAUUAAAAAAUUUGGCGGUAUUUUAGUCUGUUCAGAGGAACCUGUUUUUUAAUUGAUAGUCCACGAUAAUUUUUACUUUAAUUUUAAAUUUAUAUAUCGUCGUUUAUAAAGAUUUUAGGAGGAUUUAAAUUUUUUAUAUUUUUUAUUAAAUUUUAAUUCAGAUCAAGGUGUAGUUUAUAUUAAAGUUUUAAUGGGUUACAUUAUAUUUAUAUGUGGUUUUUAGUUUUUGAAUUUAAGAUAAAAUGGAUUUGAUAGUAAAUUUUUUAUUUAUGAAAAUUGAUUUAGCUCUAAAAUAUG